This 76-nucleotide transfer RNA is filed under the name Mesosutterella sp. Its description in RNAcentral is "tRNA-Phe". It matches the Rfam family "tRNA". Rfam says of the family: Transfer RNA (tRNA) molecules are approximately 80 nucleotides in length. Their secondary structure includes four short double-helical elements and three loops (D, anti-codon, and T loops). Further hydrogen bonds mediate the characteristic L-shaped molecular structure. tRNAs have two regions of fundamental functional importance: the anti-codon, which is responsible for specific mRNA codon recognition, and the 3' end, to which the tRNAs corresponding amino acid is attached (by aminoacyl-tRNA synthetases). tRNAs cope with the degeneracy of the genetic code in two manners: having more than one tRNA (with a specific anti-codon) for a particular amino acid; and 'wobble' base-pairing, i.e. permitting non-standard base-pairing at the 3rd anti-codon position. Lineage: Bacteria; Pseudomonadati; Pseudomonadota; Betaproteobacteria; Burkholderiales; Sutterellaceae. The record is from RNAcentral. RNAcentral also lists the same sequence under 2 other names.
GGUCAGGUAGCUCAGUCGGUAGAGCAACGGACUGAAAAUCCGUGUGUCGACGGUUCGAUUCCGCCCCUGACCACCA